This 162-nucleotide small nuclear RNA is filed under the name Dasypus novemcinctus (nine-banded armadillo). Its description in RNAcentral is "U1 spliceosomal RNA (ENSDNOG00000032419.1)". It matches the Rfam family "U1 spliceosomal RNA". Rfam says of the family: U1 is a small nuclear RNA (snRNA) component of the spliceosome (involved in pre-mRNA splicing). The record is from RNAcentral. Lineage: Eukaryota; Metazoa; Chordata; Mammalia; Cingulata; Dasypodidae.
AUACUUACCUGGCAGGGGAGAUACCAUGAUCACGAAGGUGGUUUUCCCAGGGCGAGGCUUAUCCAUUGCACUCCGGAUGUGCUGACCCCUGCGAUUUCCCCAAAUGUGGGAAACUCGACUGCAUAAUUUGAGGUAGUGGGGGACUGCCUUCGUGCUCUCCAA